RNAcentral lists this ribosomal RNA (163 nucleotides) under Ricotia aucheri. RNAcentral's name for it is "5.8S ribosomal RNA". It matches the Rfam family "5.8S ribosomal RNA". Rfam says of the family: 5.8S ribosomal RNA (5.8S rRNA) is a component of the large subunit of the eukaryotic ribosome. It is transcribed by RNA polymerase I as part of the 45S precursor that also contains 18S and 28S rRNA. Functionally, it is thought that 5.8S rRNA may be involved in ribosome translocation. The record is from RNAcentral. Lineage: Eukaryota; Viridiplantae; Streptophyta; Magnoliopsida; Brassicales; Brassicaceae.
AACGACUCUCGGCAACGGAUAUCUCGGCUCUUGCAUCGAUGAAGAACGUAGCGAAAUGCGAUACUUGGUGUGAAUUGCAGAAUCCCGUGAACCAUCGAGUCUUUGAACGCAAGUUGCGCCCCAAGCCUUCGGGCCGAGGGCACGUCUGCCUGGGUGUCACUAA